Molecule: ribosomal RNA, 517 nt
Filed under: uncultured marine eukaryote
Lineage: Eukaryota
Description: bacterial SSU rRNA
Rfam family: Eukaryotic small subunit ribosomal RNA
Source: RNAcentral
GUUGCAGUUAAAAAGCUCGUAGUUGGAUUUCUGAUUGUGUGCGCCUGCCCCGGCCCUACCGGGUCGCGCGGCGGAGUGUGCCGGUCAUCCUUCUGGGAAGCGUUCCUGGGAUGUAAGUCCUUGGGUUCGUGCCUCAGAUCGUUUACUUUGAGAAAAUUAGAGUGUUUAAGGCAGGCAUAUGCCGUGAAUACAUAGCAUGGAAUAAUAAGAUAGGACUUCGGUCUUAUUUUGUUGGUUUCCGGGACUGAAGUAAUGAUUGAUAGGGAUAGUUGGGGGUGCUCGUACCGUGUGGCCAGAGGUGAAAUUCUUGGAUUCACACGUGACGAACUUAUGCGAAAGCAUUCACCAAGGAUGUCUUCUUUAAUCAAGAACGAAAGUUGGGGGAUCGAAGACGAUCAGAUACCGUCGUAGUCUCAACCAUAAACUAUGCCAACUAGGCAUUGGGCGACGUUGAUUAGGACUCGCUCAGCACCUUAUGAGAAAUCAAAAGUCUUUGGGUUCUGGGGGGAGUAUGGUC